ACAGCGCACUGGCAGACUUCGGCCGCCCACUGCCGGCGUCGGCUUCGGCUUCAGCUUCGGCUACGGCUACGGCUACGGCUACGACUUCAGCUACGGCUUCAGCUCCGGCUGCAGGUUCGGCGUCAGCUUCAGCGUCGGGCGCGGCGUCGUCUUCGGCAGGGCCGGAGGAGCUCAACUUCAGCGACGCCUACAAGUCCUUCGAAGAGGCGAUGAAGCAGGCGCUGAAGGACGCGCCGGCAGAGGGCGGCCAGGCCGAGGCCGCCUUCUCGUCCAUGAUGGCCAACCUGGCCGAGGAGAUGGCUAAGACGGAGGUGGAGGGCGCCGAGGACCCGUUGGCCAAGACGCUGGCCGACCUGUCCAAGACCAUGACCUCCGAUGCUGAGAAGAUGGGCGGCGAGCCGGACAUGGCUGAACUCCUGCGCACUUUUGGUGGCGGG
Molecule: long non-coding RNA, 437 nt
Organism: Pollicipes pollicipes
Lineage: Eukaryota; Metazoa; Arthropoda; Thecostraca; Pollicipedomorpha; Pollicipedidae
Exons: 3
Source: RefSeq, a predicted model, not a curated record